Molecule: long non-coding RNA, 269 nt
Organism: Euleptes europaea (tarantolino)
Lineage: Eukaryota; Metazoa; Chordata; Lepidosauria; Squamata; Sphaerodactylidae
Exons: 4
Source: RefSeq, a predicted model, not a curated record
UAAGCUUGUAUCACCAGUUUUCCUAAUGGAAGAGGCUCCCCAGGGGACGUUCCAAGAUGAACUGGAGUGGUGCAUCUCCCAGCUGGAGACGGGCCUCCUACGUCUCAACCCAACUCCAGAGCAAGGGUGCUCCGCUCGACCAAGGCUCCUUCUGUGAAAAAGCGGCAGGUGAUGCACCGGGCCUUCGGCGACUACCGGCUCAAGAUGACCGAGGAGUUGAAGAGAGCAGGCAAAGCAGUUGUGAAGUCCGAGAAGGUGCAAAUUCAGCC